AGCCUUGCUCACCAUUUCCACCCUCCAUUUGCCACUUUGAAACCUAACCAACUUCAUACAAUCUCUUUACACACACUUCACUUGUUGGCCAAGGCCAUUUUGCUGUCCAAACACAUAGCUUCAAAAUAACCAAAACCCUGCCAUGCCACCAACAGUACAAAAACAAAAAAUGAAAAGGCCUCACUAUCUGUCAUGAAGCUAACAGCCACAGCCAAAACACACAGUGGAAAACCAUUCUUCACUCAUUCCCUCAAACUUCUCCUUUGUGCAUUUUCU
Molecule: long non-coding RNA, 276 nt
Filed under: Lathyrus oleraceus (garden pea)
Lineage: Eukaryota; Viridiplantae; Streptophyta; Magnoliopsida; Fabales; Fabaceae
Description: Pisum sativum (pea) long non-coding RNA (PSAT_LNC012578)
Source: RNAcentral